Molecule: long non-coding RNA, 37629 nt
Filed under: Triticum aestivum (bread wheat)
Lineage: Eukaryota; Viridiplantae; Streptophyta; Magnoliopsida; Poales; Poaceae
Description: long non-coding RNA (TAES_LNC027178)
Source: RNAcentral
UAGGUCCUACCUGGGCAUGAAAUUUUGGUGGUGAUCCUACAAAGGAGAAAGUAGCAACGUUUUUGUUUGGUGUAAACUAAGGAUUUGAGUAGACUCGUCCCUGUGCAGAUUUUGCUCUCCCCUGCCGAUACUUGUUGCUGUCCAGGAAAUUUUUCUCUUCUUUUUUUUACAUCAGCUUCAUGGUGCCAUUGUGGGAUUUGUACAUAGAGAUAAAAUAAUUGCCUUUAUUAAAUAGCCAAACUAUAGAGUUAAAAAGACGUGAUGAUGUCUGCAUUGUUGGAUACUUGGAUGUCAGAUGUAUGGCUUUUUUCUCCCCUUGCUUUGCCAAAGCGCCUGAUUUGCCAUUUCUUUGUCACUGCGAAAAUAUUCAUGUGUAUGGUUUGAGAUGGCCUAUUCUAGACUCGAACUUGAAAAUCAGUGGCGACAUGGAUUUAUAAAGGAGUGUUUGCUCAGUGUCCCUUGCUUUGUUCGCUCGUCACGGUCGAUUCACAGCAACACCGGCGGUGGAUGGCAAAGUGGAGCCCAACAAAGCAAGGGGUGGUACGAGGGCGAGUUGCCGGCGACAAAGGAUCGUCAAUGUUGGUGGAGCAAAGCGCGGAGACCUCGUUAGAGCAUCAAUCAUUUCUUUCCCACUCACUACCCACCUCAAAUCGGUCCUGUACGUUUGGGCUGAUCAGUACCCUUAUACCCAGCUCAUAUAUGAGGCGGAUAUGGGGAUGCCCCGACGCAUCAGCCACGUCCGAACGACGACAAGGACCCAUGCCCAAAUCUCUUCAAGACGUUCCUGGCCUAGCCUGUCAUGUCCUCUUCAAAUCUCUUUUCCAUCUCAUCCACACAACUGCCACCAUACCUCCGCCGCCACUCUAUCUCCACCGCCAUCCCCAAACCACAACACCGCUGACCGUGCCGCCAUCGGACAAGGUUGCCACCCAGUACGUGCAACUCCUCCAGACAAACACCUCGCACUGCAUGUGUUCUAUAAAAUGCCCAAGCAUUUUUUCUCAAUUUUUUGCCCAUUUGUAGGUCAACGAUGAAUUCGUCGUCGGACGAUGAGUAUGGAAACAAGGACCUUGACCAAUUCAUAUACAAAGAGUUCAUUGAUUCGUCAGAUUCAGACGACCAAGAUGCCAAAGUGAUGAUGAUGAUGAUCAACAUCCAAAAAUAAUUGAAGAAGCUAGAGGAGCAUGUGCUAAAACUUCAAGGAUUCAAUAAAGGGCAGAGAGUGGCUCCCUCGGAUAGGAUCGCAGGCACAAAACCUCUCUACAAGGACUACUUCAAACCGGACCCAACUUACCACAGAGGCCCCUUUUGACGCCGCUUCCUGAUGAGCAGAGAUUUGUUCUUGCGCGUAGUGAAUGCCAUGGAGGAGGUUGAUGACUACUUCAAUCUGAGGAAGGACUGUUGUGGCAACUUUCCUUCUCACCUCUGCAGAAAUGCACAACUGCUAUGAGGAUGCUUGCUUAUGGCAAGGCCUAGAUGCCAUUGAUGCUGAAAUCCGGAUAGGAGAGACCACAUGCCUGAAUACCAUGGUGCAAUUUGUACGCACCGUGGUGAAGGUGUUUGGAGCGGAGUACCUGAGAGAAUCAAAUGUCGAAGACACAGAAGGGUUGACGAUAAUUGGAGCGACAAGAGGUUUUUCAAGUAUGCUUGCCUCAGUUGAUUGCAUGCAUUGGCAAUGGAAGAACUGCCCAAAGGUAUGCACAACAGUACCGAGGUCACACCAAAGAGGCCACCAUCACACUUGAAACAGUGUCAUCAAAGGACUUGUGGAUUUGGUAGACUUUCUUUAGCACGUAUGGUUCUAACAAUGGCAUAAAUAUGCUCCAAUGAUCUCCUUUGUUCGAGCAAAUUUGUGAUGGGGAAGCUCCAGCGUGCAACUACAUCUUCAACAUGCACAACUACAACAUGGGGUACUACCUUGCUGAUGAUAUCUAUCCUCAAUGGGCGACGUUUGUGAAGACUAUAUCCGAUCACCAUGGGAGGAAACAAAUGCCUCUUUGCAAAAAUGCAAGAAGGUGCAAGAAAGGAUGUGGAGAGGGCAUUCAGAGUGCUCCAAGUUCAUUACGGUAUUGUUUGUGGAGCUGCAAUGAUCUGCAAACCGGAGUCACUCUGACAACUCAUGACAUGUGUAAUCUUGCACGACAUGAUUGUGGAGGAUGAGGGCGAAGGGGCUGCCCGCACGCAUUUAUUUUGGGAAGCCCGGAUUAACGUUCGCUCCCGGAACAAGAUGUGGAGCAUGUUGCCAACUUUUUUGAGAUGCAUCGACAACUUUGAGAUCCACACGUGCACAUUGAUACGCCCAUUUUGCAUCAUGUUUUUCCAACUGUUAUUUAUUAUGUUUUAGGUCAUUAUUUCACUUUAUGAUGCUAUUCUAAUGCCUUUUCUCUCUUAUUUUGCAAGUUUCACACUAAGGGGGAGAUUGCCGUCAGCUGGAAUUCUGGACCUGAAAAAGGUACAAUAGAGAUAGAUAUUCUCCACAACUCCGAAUGACCUGAAUAUUUACAGAGAAUUAUUUUGGAAUAUAUACAAAAUAUUGGUGGAAGAAAUACCAGAAGGGGGGCCACCAGAGAGCGACGAGCUCAGGGGGCGGACCCUAUGAGCUCGUGGCCCUCCAGCAGGCCUCUGGUGCCCAUCUUCUACUAUAUGAGGCUAUUUGCCCUAUAAAAAUAAAUAAAGAGAAGACUUCUGAAAUGAAAUGCUGCCGUCUUGAGGUGGAACCUAGGCAGGAGCAUUUUUUGCUCUCCGGCGGAGUGAUUUCACCGGGGGAACUUCCCUCUGGGAGGGGGAAAUCGAAGCCAUCGACAUCACCAACAAUCCUCUCAUCGUGCGGGGACCAAUCUUCAUCAACAUCUUCACCAACACCAUCUCCUCUCAAACCCUAGUUCAUCCCUUGUAUUCAAUUUUUGUCCCAAAACCUCAGAUUGGUAUCUGUGAGUUGCUAGUAGUGUUGAUUACGUCUUGUAGUUGAUGGUAGUUGGUUUAUUUGGUGGAAGAUUAAAUAUUCAGAUCCUCAAGCAUAUUCAAUACACCUAUGAUCUUGAACAUGAAUAUGAUUUUUGAGUAGUUACUUUUAUUCUUGAGGACAUGAAAGAAGUCUUGUUAUAAGUAAUCAUGUGAAGUUGAUAUUCGUUCGAUAUUUUGAUGAUAUGUAUGUUGUUCUUCCUUUAGUGGUGUCAUGUGAACGUCGACUACAUGACACAUCACCAUACUUGGGCCUAAGGGAAGGCAUUGUGGAGUAAUAAGUAGAUGAUGGGUUGCAAGGGUGACAGAAGCUUAAACCUAGUUUACGUGUUAUUCCGUAAGGGGCUGAUUUGGAUCCAUAUGUUUCAUGCUAUGGUUAGAUUUAUAUUAAUUCUUCUUUCGUAGUUGACGAUGCUUGCGAGAGGGGGUAAUCAUAAGAGGGCUACUUGUUCAAGUAAGAACAACACCCUAGCAUCGGUCCACCCACAUAUCAAAUUAUCAAAGGAGCGAACACGAAUCAACUAAACAUGAUGAACAUGACUAGAUGACAAUUCCCAUGUGUCCUCGAGAACGCUUUGCUUACUAUAAAAUUCUGGAUUCUCCUUUGCUAUUAAAAGGAUUGGGCCACCUUGCUGCACCUUUGUUACCAUUGCUACUUGUUACGAAUUACAUUGCUUGCCGCUACUUUCAGUACUUGCAAUGCAUACCUUGCCGAAAACCGCUUAUCAUUUUCUUCUGCUCCUCGUUGGGUUCGACACUCUUAUCGAAUGGACCAUGAUUGAUCCCCUAUACUUGUGGGUCAUCAAGACUCUUUUCUGGUGCCAUUGCCAGGGAGUGAAGCGCCUUUGGUAAGUGAAAUUUGGUAAGGGAACAUUUUUAUCACGUGCUGAAAUUUACUGUCACUUGUCACUAUGGAAAAUAAUCCUUUGAGGGGCUUGUUCGGGGUAUCUUCACCUCGACCGGAAUCAGUAAGAAUUGCCCCAAAACCUACUGAAAAUAUUUAUUAUGAGAUUCCUUCGGGUAUGUUGGAGAAACUGCUAGCUAACCAUUAUGCAGGAGAUGGAACAAUACAUCAUGAUAUGCACUUGAUAUAUAUAGAUAAAAUUUAUGGAUUGUUUAAGCUUGUAGGUUUAUCCGAAGAUGGAGUUAAGAAGAAGGUAUUUCCUUUAUGUUUGGGGGGGGGGGGAGGCAUUGACAUGAUAUAGGCUAUUGGAUGAUACUGGAACAUGGGAUUAGAACCGGUUGAAGCUCGAAUUUCAUCCAAAGUUUUAUCCUAUGCAUUUGGUUCAUCGUGAUAGGAAUUAUAUACAUAUAAUUUUUGGCCUCAUGAAGGAGAAAGUAUCGUUCAAGCUUCAUCGAGGCUUAAAUAUAUGAUGCACACAUGCCCCCAUCAUGAGCUCUUAGGAGAGAUAAUUAUUCAAAACUUUUAUGCUCGGCUUUCUCAUAAUGAUCAAUCCAUACUCGAUACUUCUUCUAUUGGUUCCUUUAUGAGGAAAACUAUUGAAUUCACACUACUAGGGAAAACCUUAUACACAGAAUCUUAGCAGUAGCGCUGGACAAAAAGGGGCGCUACUGCUACUUAGCAGCAGCGCGUUACCACAACGAGCGCUACUGCUAUCUCCAUAGCAGUAGCGCGACAAGAAGAAAAAGCGCUAGUACUAAAAUUGCCCCACCGUUGCCGCCAGGCUAGGUUUAGUAGUAGCGCUCUUGCUGGAACCACGCUACUGCUAUUGCGAUUAGCAGUAGCGCUUUACCCUAACACGCGCUACUGCUAAACCCACCCUAUCUUCUCCACCGCACGCCCCUCACUCUCCCCUCUCCACUCCAUUCUCACUCUCCCCCGCACCCCGUCGUCCGCUGCCGCCGACGUUCGGCCCUCCCCGACCACCGUCGUCGCCCGCCGCCGCCGACGCUCCUCCUCCUCCUGCACUGAGAUAGUUCCUCCAUCCCUCCUCCUUCCACGUCCCUUUCAUCCUCGUCCCUCCCCCGAUCCCUCCCUCCCUCCUUCCUCCUCCCUCUCCCUCCUUACUCCCGCCUCCUCCCUCUCACCUCCCUCCCUGCCUCAUCCAUCCUCCUCCUCCCUGCCUCAUCUGUCCUCCUCCUCCCUUCCUCCCUUCCACCUCCCUCUCCCUCCUCAUCCGUCUCUCCCUUACUAGAAAUUUUUAGGUAUUAAAUUUAGUAAUAGAAGUUUGUAGUAAGAAAAUUUAGGGUAGAACUAGGGUAAUAGAAAUUUUAGUAAGUGUUCAAUAGAGUAGAACACUUACAUUGCAUUGUUUUUAGUAAGUGUUUAAUAGAACUAGUUUAUUUGGUAAGUGGUUCAUAGAACUAGUUUAGAGAGAGAUACAUGUAUUGCCAAAUUUAGUUAUGUUAGGAUUAUAUAUAAGAUAUAUUGAAAUAUUUUUGUUAGUAUUUUCAACCAUUGAAAUGCAAUGAGCAUCAAGUUUGAAUGCUCAUGUGUGAGUGCUCAUGUGGCGCAGGGUACGUAGAUCACCGCCGAGCCGGUCGACGACGCCCAGAAGAUCACCGACGACACCCGCACCCUCGACAACCAUCGUCUAUAGUGAGUAAACAUGUAUACAUAGUGUUGUGUACUAGCUAGUGUUGCUCAAAUAUGAUGUAGAUAUAAACAUGUAUAUCUAGUGUUGCUCAAAUGGGAUAUGUGCUUGCCCAAGUGGCCUAUGUUUGCAGGGAACACCUCCGAGUGGCCUAUGUUUUGCCGGAGUGUUGAUUAAUUUCUGUUCCGGCAAAUUUUAGGCGCUCGAUAUGUCCUUUUUUUUAGCAAAGGCCAUGUUGGAUUUUUUCAUGAAUUUUAGCAUGGCUUGUGCUAGAAUGUAGGAAAUAUCGAGUGCGCUGGAUUUGCCGGAAAGAGCAUUUAACAACAUUUUGGGUCGACUUUAAGUCUGUUGGGGCUCCAUAUAUGACAAUCAGAAAACAGUGGGAGAGUUUCCACCAUAUACGAGAGAAGAAGAAUGCCGACUGUUGUUGUGGGGGUCGUUCUUCCUCUUCUUUCUCAUGAUAGACCUUUUGGUAAUGCACGGGAAGGAAGAGAAGAACGACCAUCACCGACGGUCGCAAAUGUCAGAGAGGGAGAAUCCCGACUGUUGUUGUGGGGGUCACUUCUCCUCUAUUCCCGUGUGCUAGAAAUUUUGUUGCAAAGCACUCGGGAACGAAGGGAGGAGCUACCAUCACCGACGGUCAAAAUAACUGUGAGGGAGGGUCCACCAUAUACACCACAUGAGCUGAGAGUUUUCAAGGAAAGUCUUGACAGACUGAUAGUCAACCCGUGAUGAAUAAUAAUGAUCUAAUUUAGUUUUUGUAGCACAUAUAUUGAAUUUUAGAAGUUUAAUCUUUGAAUUAUGAACAUAGGAAAUGUCUGACAAUGACGAUAGGAUCCCGGAGUGCGACUACUGCGGCGACGACCGGGGUCUGUGUGACAGGCCUCAUCUGGUAGACGGUCGGCGCUUCAGUAUUAAGCUCAAUGAGACCUUCGAUGUUGAAACGACACGCAAUGACGAGAAGUGUUUUUUUCGUAAUUAAGCAUGACUUCUGCUUCUUCAACAUGUAAUUUCCGUAUUUUACAAUUCGACUAGCUUAUCCCAUGCCAUGCAAGACGCUAUGUCUUGGAGAAGGUGAAUUUCGAAGAUCAUGAGAAUAUGGAGACGAAGAUAGUUCACCUCAGGACCCAUCAUGGUUAUGCUUUUGCCGUAAAGCUAUACAAUUCGAAGAGCGUAUCCCAUUUUGGUUGCUCGAAUUGGGAAGCACUGUACAAGGCGUAUGGUUUUCAGGAGGGUAUGCAUGUCACCCUCGAUCUUGGUGAUCCUGAAGAUGACAUCAACGAAGAGAAUAUCGACAUUUGGAUCCUUGUUGAUAUGCUUCCACUUCUACCUCUAUGUGAGUUUCUCAAACAUAUUUAUUAAGUAAUUUAUAUUGUUUAUUUCAAAAUAUUUGAUAGCUUAUUUCCAUUGACAACUUAUUUUGAUUCUUCAAAAAAUUUACGGAAGAUGGUAGACAGAACCUACUACACUGAUGGCUCUGAAUUACCUUAUGAGGAGAAAGACCAUCUUAUCUCAUUUAUUGUUGAUGUUUAGAAUUACAAUAUCAAUUACAAAACUCCUGCACAUUAUGGUCAAUACGUGCCACUAGUGCACGUGUUGAACUAUGGUAACAUCCAUGGAGAUGGCAUGGUAAGAUUUUUUACUAUUACGACAUCUGUGCAUCUUUUGCAUACAUUCUUCUAAAGCUAAACUACAUUGCUUAGUACAACGUUUUUAUUAUGUUUUUCAAUAGAAAAUCCCAAAGGAUUGUGUGCCUGAUUUGAUGUUUCUGAAAGGUCAUCUUGAUGUUAUUAGCUUAUGGCCAAGUCCUCCUAGGCUUCAUCGCUGUUCAUACAAGAUUUCUCAAACCGAUGAAGACAUGACAAUCAAAGAAUGGAAUAAAUGUAUGAAGAAUCAUAGGGAGCUACUUGGAAGCAACAUUGUGCAAAGCGCAAGAAUUGGAGGCAGGAUAAUCUCCAUUCUCCAUAAUGGAGAGUCAGGGCCUACCUUGUUUUAUGCUAUUUUAUCUUAGAGAGGGUAGUAGGUCCUAAGAACAAUUAAUUAGGGUUGGUUAGAUGACUAUGAUGAUGAUGAUGAGUAUGACUUGUUAUUAUGCAUCCACAGUGCUUAGGGCGGUAAAUUCCUGCUUAGAAAAAGCUAGAGCACGCAUGGUCUCUUCAUUCGUCGAUGAUUCAUCACGCUCUCCACUUCGGAAUUUGUGACGGAUACGUCAUCCGGAUCCUCAUGAGGUGGAUGAGUCGGCGCCACAUCCGUAUUGGCUCUCGUCUUGGUCGAUGAGCCCGGUGUUGGAUUGGCUGAUACUUGGCUAGCUGGGGUUUUGGACACGGUUCGCCGUGUGCUCCUCCUGGAAUAAGAUGGGGGGGGGGGAGAAAUAUGACAAUCUCAUCUUAUGCCUAGGCACAUAUUGAAGGUUAUACUUCUUUGAUGACAGAGGGGGUUCGAUGGUGCUCCCGGUUUCCUUUCGUUUUGAAGGCUCACCCUGCGUAGAUGCUACCUUCCUAGGGGCCGCCCUCCAUUGGGUACGGAUCGCUGAGCGCUGAUCCUAUAAAUCACGGUUCAGUGUGAUGGUGGAGACGCGAGUGGGGGCUCCUCUUUUUGAGGAUGAUUUCUGAACACUUACCCUGGAGAUGGGGAGAAGGUCGGGGUAGUCGGCUAUAAUAGCCACUUUCGAGCCGUUAAGGCUCGCUUGACAAAAGAUUCCAUCAUCAAACUCUAUAAAUAUAUCCGAAUCCUCGUGGAAGCCGGGGUCUUCGUUGCGAGCAUGGUCCUCUGGCUGAGGGGAGGGGCAAUGGACAUUUUCAACUACCUUCCUCCAUGUCUGCUUUAAGACAACCAGAAUAAUUUGAUUAACACAUCUCGAUAACGAGGUAGAACAAUGCUGAUAAUCAAUGACUUACCCAUUGAAUGGGGUUGUACAUGGAAAAACCUUCCCGACAAUUUAAGCGGAUGAAUUCUUCUUUCCCCCCCUUAUAAAGAUCUUCCAGAAUGGCGACCAGAGCUGCUGGGGUAUCCGGGCCCUCGCGCUUAUAGCGAGAUGCAUCGUCCUCCCCGUUGUAACACCAUAAAGGGGUCACUCUGGACUGAAGGGGCUGGAUGCAUCGCUUUAUUGCGAUGGCCAUAACUUCGAUAACAGAGAGUCUGGACUGGGCAAGUAAUCUGACCUUGCUAUCUAACCUCAUAACUUCCACACUAUCUUCUUGCUUGGGGCUCCGGGGGCACCAACUGAGUAGUUUCUUCAAAGGUGCACUGACGAAUUCGGGAAGUCCGCGCCGAACUGGGUCCGGAAGGGGAACAUCCUCAACAUAAAACCAUUCCGAAGACCAUUCUUCAGACCCCUUCUCGGGAGUUCCAAUAGGGUAGCAUGAUCCGGCUAUGCGCCAAACUUCGGCGCCGCUCACUUCAAAUAUAGAACCACCUUGAUGGCGGGGAAUGAGGCAAAAUAACUUUCUCCAUAGUUCAAAAUGAUCCUCGCAGCCUAAAAAUAGUUCGCAGAGAGCGACAAAACCCGAAAUAUGCAGGAUAGAACCUGGUGUGAGGUUGUGCAGCUAGAUCCCGUAGAAUUCUAAUAGACCCUUGAGGAAGGGAUGGACCGGGAAUCCUAAGCCCCUCAGAAGAAACGAGACAAAGCAAACCCUCUCCUCCUUAUUGGGGUUGGGGAAAUUCUCUGCUAACACGUCAUUGCCAAUCGAGGCUGAUCCCGCCCGCACGGAGACUAGAUCUGCGGGAGGGAGAUACCCCUACGUCUGAAGUCGACUCAGCUGGAGGUGGGAUACUGAGCAGCUUCGCCAAUCACCUUCUUGAGGGCCAUGAGGGCGCGAGGAGAAGCUAGGAGCACUCACCAUGUUUUGAAGUUUUUCGUGGUUUGCCCUGAUGCUCUUUGUGCGAUGUGGGAUAGCAUUUGGGGAUCUAACCUCUUUAUAGAUGCUGCCCGUGCAUGGUAAGGGGCUUAUUUGUAAAAAAGUUAUGGACCGUUCACAUUCACCCGAUGCAUGGAAAUCAAGGCGACGACAGGGAGGAGUCAUAAAGGCAGAACAUGAAGGUCAAAACCAGACUGUCGUCAACCCGGAGUAUGAUGAAAAACCUGCCUUGCAAAGUUGAAGACAUAAGCCGGAUACUACAUCGUCAUUGAAGGCAAGUUCGGGGGCUACUGAGGGAGUCCUAGAUUUGGGGGUCCUCAGGAGUCCGGUCUAUUCGAUAUGGGCCGGACUAAUGGGCCGUGAAGAUAAAGCAGAAGACUAUCCCCCGUGUCCGGGUAGGACUCCUAUGUCCUUUGUCAACAAGUUUGGCAUCCGGAUGUACUGUUUCCUUCUUCUGUAAACCGACUUUGUACAACCCUAGGCCCCUCCGGUGUGUAUAUAAACCGGUGGGUUUAGUCUGUGGAGGCUAUCAGAAUAAUCAUAGGCUAGACAACUAGGGUUUAGCCAUUACGAUCUGGAGGUAGAUCAACUCUUGUAACCUCUAUACUCAUCGAAUACAAUCAAGCAUGACGUAGGGUUUUACCUCCUUUAAGAGGGCCGAAACCUGGGUAAAUAUCGUGUCCCCAUUGUCCCUUGUUACCAUUGAUCCUUAGACUCACAACUUGCCCCCCUACCCGAGAUCUGCCAGUUUUGACACCGACAUCAUGCUUUUCCUGUCAACAAAACGAUCGAGUAGUUCCCAAUACUUCCCAUGCUAUAUAUAUCAUAGGUGGUUCCCAAACAGAAAAUAAAGUUUAUUCCUUUUUACACCAUACUUUCACUUUCCAUGGCUAACUGUAUCCACAGGUGCCUUCCAUACCAACACUUUCCAAGGAAUUUAUUAUUUGACAACAUAAAGUAAAUUGAUUUUUCAUUUCAGGACUGGGCAUCCCUAAUACCUUUGCCGUACUCUCAUGCAACUACAAGUGAAUAAACACUCAUCUUGAGAAUAACACAUCUAGCAUGGAAAUAUAUCAGCCACCCCCUACCGUUUCAUGAGUGGUACAAGCACACAAAAGAGAAAUUUAUUUUUAAAUUUACAGAUGGCACAUACAAAUUUGCUUAGAACGGCAAAAGAGUACCCCAUAUAGGUAGGUAUAGUAGACUCAUGUGGCAAAACUGGUUGAAAGGAUUUUGGAUGCACAAGUAGUGAUCAUACUUAGUGCAAAUGAAGGCUAGCAAAAGAUUGGGAAGCAUCCAACCAAGAAACGAAAAAUCUCAUAAGCGAGCAUUAAGCAUAACUAACACCGAAUAAUGCACCACAAAUAGAAUGUAAUUUCAUUGCAUAACUAUUAACUUUUGUGCUUGCAUAGGGAAUCACAAACCUUAACACCAAUAUUCUUACUAAAGCAUAAUUACUCAUCAACAUGACUCACAUAUCACUAUCAUCAUAUCUCAAAACUAUUACAAAAGAAUCAAGUUUACUUUGUCCAAUGAUCUUCAUGAAAGUUUUUAUUAUAUCCCUCUUGAAUAUCUAUCACUUUGGGACUAAUUUCAUAUGUUGCUUUUGAUAGCUCAAACAAAUCUAAGUGAAGAACACGAGCAUAAUUUUUUUCUUCUCUCAAAAUAAUUUAAGUGAAGCAAAAGAGAAUUUAUUCAAAUUUUUUACUAACUCUCAAAUAAAUCUAAGUGAAGCAUGAGAGCAUUUCUUCAAAAAUAGUAAAGCACACCGUGCUAAAAAAGAUAUAAGUGAAGCACUAGAGCAAUUCCAUAGCUCAUAAAGAUUUAAGUAAAGCAUAGAGAGCAACUAACAAGUCAUAGCAUAAUUUUGGCUACCUCAACUAGGUGUGUCGAGAAAGGAUAGAUGACUUAAAACACACAAAAAACAAGCAAAGACUCAUAUCAUACAAGACACUCCAAACAAAACUCAUAAUAUGUGACGAAUAAAAAUAUAGCUCCAAGUAAAAUACCGAUGGUCAUUAGAAGAAAGAGGGGAUGCCACUCGGGGGCAUCCCCAAGCUUAGUUGCUUGAUUCUUCUUGAAUAUUAUCUUGGGGUGCCUCGGGCAUCCCCAAGAUUAGCCUUUUGCUAAUCCUUAUUCCUUCAUCCGUCGCGAUCUCACCCAAAACUUGAAAACUUCAAUCACACAAAACUCAACAAAACCUUCGUGAGAUCCGUUAAUAUAAGAAAGAAAAUCACUACUUUAAGUACUAUUGCAAACCCAUUCAUAUUUUGUUAUUGUAUUAUACAUACUAUAUUUUAACUUUUCCAUGGUAAAAACUCUUCAAAGGAACCCAUAGAAUCAUCAAAACAAGCACAUAACACAACGAAAACAGAAUCUGUCAAAAAACAGAACAAUCUGUAGUAAUCAGGGAACUUUGUAUACUUCUGUAACUCCAAAAAUUCUGAAAAAUUAGGAAAACAUGGGAAAUUUGUAUAUCAAUCUUGCAUUAAACAAUUUAGAGCAAAAAAACAUUUCUGUGAUUUAUGAAAAUUAUUUUUUGAGCGAAAAGUUUCUGUUUUUGAACAAGAUCAAAUCAACUAUCUCCCAAAUUAUCCCAAAGGCUUUGCUUGGCACAGACACUAAUUUAAACCACAAAAACACAUCUAAACAGAUACGUAAUUGGGUAUUUUAUUGAAAAUAGGAAGAAAACCAAAAACCAAAAAGAUACAAGUUGGGUUGCCUCCCAACGAGCGCUAUUGUUUUAUGCCCCUAGCUAGGCAUAAUGCAAAGGAUCUAAGUAUUGUCAUUUGUAGUUUUAGCAACUUUUGUAAGGGCUUUCUCAAACUCAGGAGGUUCUUUGCGCUUCCCUAAAUUCUCAGGAAAAGAAACCAUCUUGAAAUCUAAGAUAUCAAAAUGCUUAUUGCAAAGAGUGAUCAAAGUAUUCAUUCGAUUGAGGUGCCCACUAAUAUGCUUGAGGGGUUCAUUAUACUUUUGCAACUCAACCAUGCAAAUCACUCAACUUGUCUAAGAUUUGAACCCCUUCUUGAGUAAAAGAAAUCCCCUUCUUAGUGGGUGGUAUUCCCAAGAUCCCUUCUAAGAUCUCAUAAGCAUCAUUAGCAUCAAGUUCGAUAAAAUUUCCUGUAGCGGCAAAAUCUAGAAGUUGCCUAUGACGCAAGGCUAAUCCUAUAUAAAAAUUUCGAAGCAAAACCUUUGCAUCCCCUUUUAAGUUGGUUAUGCGAUAAGAUUCCAUUAAUCUAUACCAAGCAUCUUUCAAAUUUUCUCCUUGGCUCUCCUUGAAGUAUAAAACUUCAAAAUCCGGAGACAAAGGAGGAGUAGUUGUGCUAGUCAUAGUGACAAGACGAGCAAACAAGAUCACACACAUAAACAUAUCUGAAGAUAAAAACGGCGAACAAAAAAGAGGGAGAACAAAACGGCAAAUUUUGUGAAGUGGGGGAGAGGAAAACGAGAGGCAAAUAAUGUAAAUUUCAAGGAGAUGAGAUUUGUGAUUAGGAACCUGGUAGAUGUUGGUGAUGUCUCCCUGGCAAUGGCGCUAGAAAUUCCUUUUGAUGUUGGCUUGAACUAUGUCGAUAUUUACCCAAAGAGGAAGGGAUGAUGCAGCAUAUCAAUGGUAGGUAUUUCCCUCAGUGAUGAGUCCAAGGUUAUCGAACCAGUAGGAGAACCACACAACACCACAUAAAUAGCUCCUGCACACAAAGAACAAAUACUUGCAACCCAACAUAACAGAGGGUUUGUUAAUCCCUCACGGGUAAAAAUAUAGAUAAAAUUGUAGUAGUUUGGAUAAAUAGAUCUAGCGGGAACACGAGAUAACACAAAUAAAUAAAAAUUGCAGCAAGGUAUUUUGUAUUAAUAGAUCUGAAAUAAAAGCGAAUAAAAAUAGAUCUGUAAGGCAAAUAUGAUAAAUAAGAGACCCGGGGCCCAUAGAUUUCUCUAGUGACUUCUCUCGAAAAAAAUAGUAUACGGUGGGUAAACAAACUGUUGGGCAAUUGAUAGAACUUCAAAUAUUCAUGAUGAUAUCCAGGCAAUGAUCAUUAUAUAGUCAUCAUGUCCAAGAUUAGUAGACCGACUUAUGCCUGCAUCUACUACUAUUACUCCUCACAUCAACCACUAUCCAGCAUGAAUCUAGUGUAUUAAGUUCAUGGAAAAACAGAAUAAUGCAAUAAGAACGAUGACAUGAUGUAGACAAGAUCUAUUUAUGUAGAAAUAGACCCCAUCUUGUUAUCCUUAAUGGCAAUGAUACAUACGUGUCGGUUCCCCUUCUGUCACUAGGAUCAAGCACCGUAAGAUCGAACCCAUCACAAAGCACCUCUUCCCAUGGCAAGAAAAAUCGAUCUAGUCAGCCUAACUAAACCAAAGAUUCAAAGAACAAAUACGAGGAUAUAAGUAAUCAUGCAUAUAAUAGAUCAAAAGACUCAAAUAACUUUCAUGGAUAAAAACAUAGAUCUGAUCAUAAACUCAAAGUUCAUCGGAUCCCAACAAACACACCGCAAAAAGAGUUACACCAAAUAGAUAUCCAAGAGACCAUUGCAUUGAGAAUCAAAUGAGAGAGAGGAAGCCAUCUAGCUACUAACUACGAACCCGUAGGUCUACAAUGAACUACUCACGCAUCAUCGAAGAGGCACCAAUGAUGAUGAUGAACCCCUCUGUGAUGGUGUCAAGAUUGGAACUAAUGGUUCUGGAACUUGCUGCGGCUGUAAUUGAUUUUCGUUGACUCCCGUAGGGUUUCUGGAAUAUUCGAGUAUUUAUAGGUGUGGGAGGUCACCGAGGUGGGCACAACCCAUCAGGGCGCGCCUGGGCCCCCAGGCAUGCUCUGGUGUCUUGUGCUCACCUCGGGCCCCCUCUUCGGUACUUCUUUGGCCCAUUGGGUGUCUUCUGGUCCAAAAAAAUCCACAAAAGUUUCGAUGUCUUUGGACUCCAUUUGAUAUUGAUUUCCUGCGAUGUAAAAAAACAAGCAGAAAAGAGGAACGGGCACUUGGCACUAUGCCAAUAGGUUAGUCCCAACAAAUGAUAUAAAAUUGCUAUAAAAUGAUUGUAAAACGUCCAAGAAUAAUAAUAUAACAACACGGAACAAUAAAAAAUUAUAGAUACAUUGGAGGCGUAUCACCUGUCACUGUCACAUGUCGUUCAACCAAAGCUCAAGCUCAUGCAUUGUCAGCAUUCCCUCCCACACGCUCGGAUUGCUGGGUUCGACCGACACCAUACCCUUCGUAUCUCGUCCUUAACUACCUCACUUUCAUGGUUGUUGUCUGUAUCAAGAGGCAGGCACCAAAUCUAAAUUGUACAUUAUUCGAUAUUUAAAACACACAUAACCCCUUCCAACGUACAUCAUUUUGGGUUGCAUGCAGGUGAUGCUGGUUUUGUGGUCCCUCUCGUGCGAUUUUUUAUGAUGGUUCCAUCUAUUAGCCCAAGCGGAAUACACACACACACACACACACACACUAUAUAUAUAUAUAUAUAUAUAUACUAUCCAUUUUUAUUGAAAAAACAGUUGUCGUUUGACCAAGCAAUAGAUUCACUGGUCCGUCUUGUGGUAGGUCAUGGCGACAUGCAUGUAUGACCAAAGUAACAUUACGUGCAUCUGCCCCACUGACAUGGAGUGGGAGGUGGGUCAAGCACCCUAGCUAGGUAGCUACGACAUUAUGUCAUUAUUGAUAUAUCCAAGGUGCUUUUGGUUUUGCGAGGCAGGUCCCACCAAAGUUGUGCAUUGUGUAUUUAAAGUUUUAAACAUCACACCCUAUAUUCCUACAUAUAUUUGGCCACUUCCAGGAGGUUCUUGACUUAUGGCCCCUCUCAUCAAUCUUCAAUGACGCGCCCAACCGUGGGCCCACACGGUCAAAGUUGUGCAUUGGAAUUUUGAACAUCACAGACCACCCUUUUCACUCAUAUAUAUUUGGGCUACAUGCUGGUGUGGCUGUCUUCUGACCCUCUCCAACGUUUUUUUGCUGCAAUGACUCGGAUGACGCUCAAAGGACACGGGUGUAAUUGCUUAACCAUGUGCGAUGCAAGUGCGCUGUGAAAUCACCACGGCUGCGCAAGCGCGAUCAAGGGUGUAGGUAGUGAUUAACUGUCUGCGAUGCUAGUGGGCUGUGAAAUCACCAUGACUGCGCAAGCGCGAGCAGUGGUGGAGGUAGUGGUUUAACCAUGUCCGAUGCAAGUGCGCUGUGAAUCACCAUGACUGCGCAAGUGCGAGCAAAGGUGGAGGUACUGGCACUACAAGAAAUAUGUCAACUUGCGACCAUCACUAUUGGUCGUUGAAUGGUCAUUGUUUUUCAUUUGUGACCUUUUUGUGACCAAAAACAGAUGGUCAAAAGCUGACCGUCUUAAAUGGAAAUUAACAACCUUCUUUGUGAUAAGGUCGUUGAAGGCAACGACCAAAACAAAAGGUCGUUGAUCCUACGACCUUCUGUUUUGGUCACUAGCUGUCUGCCCAGGCCACGUCGGAUCCGACGUGACAAAAUUGAGACCAAUUGAAAAGGUCAUUGAUAAGAAUCAGCCCGGUCCAGUUCGGUGUUUUACAUGGGUUGAGCCCAACAAUUCAACCUAUUUAUUGUUUUUUUUGUGAAUUUUUGGUCGGCUUCAUGGGCCAAGCCCAACAUUUCUACCACAUUAUUUGUGGGCUUUGGUAGUUUUACAAUCUAUUUAUUUUUGGGCCUUGGCCUUUCAAUUUUCUGGGUCUUCACCUUUUUUUAGUUUACCUUUUUCCACAAUCUUGUUCUAUUUUUUAUAUUGUUUGGUUUGCGGCCUUUUUAGGGCCCAAAGAGCAUUUGUUUCAUUGCUGGCGUAUCAACAAUAAAUAACCAAUAUUUUGGUCAGCAGAACCCUAAUCACAGAAAAGUUCACAAAUGAUGACCAAAAUGAGAAUGUUAUAUAUAUUACAAGCAUGCCAUAGUUCACAUCAUCCAGUAAUUUAGAACAGCUUCAAAAGCAUUGCUAUGUAGUAGUAUAUUAUAACCAGUACAUAUUUUUAAUCACGCACGGACAUAUAAUUAGCUACAAAGAUGAAGCCUUCCCAUCAUCUAAAUUCUUUACCCUAGAGCUCCCGCGAAAGAGAGGAAAUGAUCGUUAUUAUUACCAUCAAUCAGAAUGAAAGAAAUAGGUUCCAACAUACAACAACUAGGAAAAGAAUAAUAAACAGAAUAAUAAACAAAUACACAAGCAGCUAGGAGUCAAUCCUGAAGCAUGAGGGCAUGCGUAAAUAUAGCGAAUAUUAUAUUGGUGUAAAAAACUAAAUAGCAGCAGGCUUUGAGAAGACUCCAAAAACUUGCUUGCUCAUAAUUCAGUCAUGUUUUUGACGACAAAUACUACUAAAAUUUAGGCACAAGUCAUAUUCUAAGCAGUAUCAGCACCAUGGCAGUAACAAUGAACAAUAGCAGGAAUGGGGCACAAAUUAGUUAGCUACUAAUGUUCACCAAAUUUAAAGAUUGUCUGUCCUAGCUAACAAAAAUACAACACCAUACUUAGGAACUCAGAGCGAGAAAAGUACAUGUCGCUGAAGAGCUACCACAAAUGAUACCGAUCAAGGAUAAAACACGUAGGUAUCAUAUAAUUCUCAUCACAAUCAUACAAUGAAUUCAUUAAAGGCUACAGAUUCAUUUCUUGACAUAGCAUUGGAAAAUCAUAAGAAUAGUAUAUUAACCAAAGUGCCGAGAUAAGACAUGGAGGUCACCAUCACAUAACAAAGGAAGAGUGGGACAGAAUGAGAACUUACACUCUGGACAGAUCAAAGACUUCGUACUCCCUCUUCCUCGGUGGAUGGAUCAAAGACUUCACUUCCUCUUCCUCGAUGGACGAAUCAAAGACUUCACUUCCUCUUCCUCAUGCACCAUCAGCAACACCAUCUCAAACACCUUGGAGCCUACAACCUACAAAAUAGCACAACCACACACACAGUAAGGACUGAAUUUAGAUCAAUGGAUCCCUCGACAUAAGGCAAUAAGAAACUAUGCUCAUGUAUGAACAAAAAUAAAAAUAACCGAAACUUUGAGGCAAUAGUGUGUGCCAAAAAACUUGACAAAUGCAUACUUAUCCCAUAGGCAGCAAUGUUGCAUCAAGCUUCAGGCCCAUAUCUGUUUGAGAAGACAAGGAGUAUAUACCUGACUUUGUCUCGAUGCGGUGGAUGGGCUGUAGUUGAAGAAAAUCUGGUCCGCAUUGUAAUGUUGCAAGUACUCAUCCAUGUAGAAGUAUCAUGCAACCAAAGGGUUAAGACCACACACAAGGAUCGGUGUUAGCAGAAUUGAGAAAUAUUUGUACAGGGUAAUGAAAGGUGCCAAUCCAGUGCAAGAUAAUAGAGCAAAUAUGUCAAAGUUAUUCAGAUUUGUUAAUGUGUUUAUCACACUACCAAAAUUCAAGAUAAACCAUGAUAGGGAAACAAGUGAAUUACAGCAAAGGAGUCAUAUAAUUUGACUACCACAAUCAUUGAGUGAAUGCAAACAGCAGAGAAUUCAGAAAUUUUCUGAACUGAAUGCAAGCAUCUUAAUAUACAAAUUAUACUAAGUGCCCUUCGCUUUGAGCAUCUUAACAUACAGAUUAUACUAAGUGCUGCACUGGCAGGGUGACAAACAAAUGCUAGAUUAAUGCAAUGAGACUAUGUGUGCUAGCAUCAAGAUAUGAAAAAUGGUUUAUCAAAAGUUUUUUUCAACAUAAUCAUCCUCAUAUAGUUAAGUAUCACAAAGAGGCAUCUAUAAAGCAAUACCAAGCAAAUGAUGCAUACAAACUGAUUAUUAUUAUUAGGAUUUAGGAGUGCUGAUACAGGAGCCAGAAGACAACCCUUGCAUUUAGGGAGAACAUGACACAUCACUACAAAAAAGACACAUCCGUGACAUUUUGGGCCGAAUGAAUUUUUUUCCUGUCAUACAUAUGACACUUCUAUGACGAUAAUUGUGACAAAACCCGGUAUCAUCAUAGAUGUGGUGGGCUCCUACUUCUAUGACAAAAAAUCAUGACAGAAAAUGGGAUUUUCGUCCUAGGCGGGCCGGAGACGCAGCUGCAUGACAUUCUUUGGGCCGUCCAUGACGAAAAAACCGUGGUAGAAGCGAGGGGGAGGAAAAACUCGGGGAGUUGCCGGUUACGGUGGGAGGUCGGGGGCCGAGCGAUACACGUUUCUCUCGUACGCACGCGCGUGUGUGCGAGGCGUUGGCUCUAACUGAAGCUGAGCGAGGCAUUGGGCUCUAACUGAACCCGAGCGAUUGCACUGCAGGCUACGCGUUACUGAACCGGAGCGAUCGAUCGAUGGCUGUUAACUGAACCCGAUGGAGCAAUUCCUUCACUACUGCUGCUAACUGAAGUUGAGCGAUGCUGCCUCUGGGAUGAACAGUNNNNNNNNNNNNNNNNNNNNNNNNNNNNNNNNNNNNNNNNNNNNNNNNNNNNNNNNNNNNNNNNNNNNNNNNNNNNNNNNNNNNNNNNNNNNNNNNNNNNNNNNNNNNNNNNNNNNNNNNNNNNNNNNNNNNNNNNNNNNNNNNNNNNNNNNNNNNNNNNNNNNNNNNNNNNNNNNNNNNNNNNNNNNNNNNNNNNNNNNNNNNNNNNNNNNNNNNNNNNNNNNNNNNNNNNNNNNNNNNNNNNNNNNNNNNNNNNNNNNNNNNNNNNNNNNNNNNNNNNNNNNNNNNNNNNNNNNNNNNNNNNNNNNNNNNNNNNNNNNNNNNNNNGGAUGAACAGUAGACGGUGGAGGGGUGCCCGUGGAUGGGUGGUUGAACAGUAGCCAGUGGAGUAGCGCGCGGUGGAGGCUGGAUGAACAGGAGCCCGUGGAGGCUGGAGGAGGUCGACGGUAGCUCGUGGAGGCUGGAGGAGGUCGACGGUGGAGAUGAACACUAUCCCGUGGAGUCCCGUUUUGCAGUACGCCACACCCCUCCUCCCCCCGUUUCGACCGUAGCACUCCAACACAAGUCCGUUUUGCGGUACGCCACACCCCUCCCGAUCAACAGGACCCCCGUUUCGACCGUAGGAGGUCCGUUUCCUCCGUUUUGCGGUAUGCCACACCCCUCCCGAUCAACAGGACCCCGUUCCAAAUGUAGGAGGUCCAUUUCCUCCAUUGUGCGGUACGCCAUGCCUCGUUUCCAUCGCCUGUUCCGUCCAAGCCCUCCCGAUGAACACGACCACGCAUUCCAUUCCGACCCAGCCGGUUGGCUCCCACGCGUUCCGUUGCCUCCCGAUGAACACGACGCAUUCCGUUGCCUCCCCAUGAACACGACGCAUUCCGUUGCCUCCCCAUGAACACGACACAUUUCGUUGCCUCCCCAUGAACACGACGCAUUCCGUUGCCUCCCCAUGAACACGAGCCCUCGCCGUACGUAUGCUCGACUAGGCGUUCGAGACCCCGCCCGUAUGUACACAUACGUGACCGUAUUUUCUUUCUUGUACCCUGGCCGCUGUACGUACGUGUAGAUGCUACGUGCGCGCCUCUACUACGACACAUGCGCGCCUCUACUACGACAUGUGCGCGCCUCUACAUCGACUAGUAUGUACGUACACGUUCGCGACCAGGAUGACAACGCUACGUACGCUUUGACCAGGUGGGUCCCGACUGUCAGGCACUUCCUUGCCUGCAAAGAUGUAGCUGGUGGGUCCGAGAAGUCAGGGGGGCGAAUCGUUUUUUUUGCCCGUACGCACUUCCUUGUGUGCGAAGGUGUAGCUGCUGGGUCCCAGCAGUCAGGGGGCGAAUCGUUUUUUUUGCCCGGACGCACUUCCUUGCGUGCGAAGGUGUAGCUGCUGGNNNNNNNNNNNNNNNNNNNNNNNNNNNNNNNNNNNNNNNNNNNNNNNNNNNNNNNNNNNNNNNNNNNNNNNNNNNNNNNNNNNNNNNNNNNNNNNNNNNNNNNNNNNNNNNNNNNNNNNNNNNNNNNNNNNNNNNNNNNNNNNNNNNNNNNNNNNNNNNNNNNNNNNNNNNNNNNNNNNNNNNNNNNNNNNNNNNNNNNNNNNNNNNNNNNNNNNNNNNNNNNNNNNNNNNNNNNNNNNNNGGGGAGGCGAAUCGUUUUUUUUUCGGACGCACUUCCUUGCCUGCGAAGAUGUAGUUGGUGGGUCCCAGCAGUCAGGAGGGCGAAUCGUUUUUUCCCAGACGCACUUCCUUGCGUGCGAAGAUGUAGCUCGUGGGUCCCAGCAGUCAGGGGGUGAAUCAUUUUUUUCGCAAAAUACGGUGGCCCGUCUGGUGGGUCCCCGCUGUCAGGUGGAGGAAUAAUUAUUUUGCGCGUAAUAAGGAGGCACUUCCUUGCGGCUGCCGUGGACCCAGCUGUCAGCCUCUCCACGUAUAGUCCACGUCCGAUGGAAGUCGUUCCUUGACCACGUUGACCACGCCGCGCCGAGAGCACCACGACGGUGGACGACGGCGAGGCCUAGGAAGGGGACGACGCGGAGCCGGGGAAGACACGACAGUGGAUGCACACGCGGAGAGGAGUACGAGGGUUCAAUGGUUUGGCUGCGCUGCCGUUGCCACAGAAUAACAGGGGGUGUGGGUGAGUGAAGGGAUGGCCUGGCCAGCGGUGGGAGUAGUAGGGGGCGGUGAGGCCUCCGCGGCAGCACAACUAGCCACGGGAGGCAGGAGCAGGCGGCACGACCGGCGCUGCUUUGGGCGGCUGGAGCAAGAAGACCAGAGGUUGAAGAAGCACGACGGCCGUUGGAUGGACAUCAUACGGUCACUACAGCUAGAAUUGUUUAUAUUGACUAAGUUAACAAAGCCCUUGGUACGUCAACUUAGUAGGCCCACAGGUCAGCUUCCGAAACGGUGCGCUCCAGAUGUCAGGGGGAUGAAUCAUUUUUUGGGCGGGUGAAGCUAGAAUAUCCGAGAUUGAAGAAGAAGCAUGGCAUCCGUUGGAUGGACAUCCAACGGCCACUGCUGCUAGAACCGUGUGUUGACUAUAAGUUGACAAAGCCUUGCAUACCCGUCAACUCUGUUUUUUUAGGGGACGCGUCAACUUAGUAAGGCCAGAAGUGUGUGGCAGAGAACUUAUAGCCCAUUUGAGAUUUGUAAGAAUGUGUAGCCCAUUUUUGAAUUCUAAUGGAAUUUACUACAACCCAUUUAUAGUUUGUUAAAAGUACAACCCAUUUCAACCAACCGUUCAAAACAGAAUUCAAUAAAAUUUCCCACAUUUUGAUGGGAUCCGAAUAUUUUUAUCCCGAAAUUUUAAUCAGAUUAAAUACAAUUUUAAUAUAAAUUUAUAUUGCGUAAAAAUCCAACAAAACAUUCCGCUCGCAACAAUUAAUGAAAUCAAAAUUUUCAAUAUUCCAAAAAUAAUAUUUUAUAAAGUAAUCACUGUUUGGUGCAUUUUUUAUAGUUACUACCCAGUUUUUAUAAUUACAUCCCAUUUAUUAUUUCUUAAAGCCCAUUUUCUUGUUAAGCCUAAUGCAUCCCUCCUAGGAAAGAUUUGCAGCCCAGCACGGCGGAGAAUAACAACUUGACCUUGCCUGGGUAUUCCUAAAAAAAAGUAUAGCCGGGCUAGCCAUUUUCAGCUUGAAAAAAAAUUAAUAUCUGGGCUGGAUAUCUGGCCUGGGCUAGACGGGCCACAGCCCGCCCAGUUAAUACCUGCAGCGAUGUUUUCGUUGUUGUUCAGAGGAGAAAAAUUAAUAUCUGGGGUAAACAUCAAAAAACUCUGCAGUGCUCACACCUCAAAAGCACAAAUACUGCUCGAGCUGCUUGGUCCCAGCUGUCGGCCGCUUCUUGUGCAAUUCUCUCGUUUAUUAACUACUCCCUCCUUUCCGGUUUAUAAUGCUCAAUUCAAAAAUCUCACCAAUCAAGGUAGAUGGCGAGUGGUGGAAUACUUUUUCUAGUUUUGCAAAAGCACCUAACUAAUGCUCUUGUUAUCCUCAAAAAAUUAUGUUAAUCAAUGCAUUAAUUGCAAUGCAUGCAUGCAUAAAGUACAUGCAUUGGUCAAUUUUCUCUUAAUACUUGCAUGCAAUGAUUUAAUGCACCUUGGAAUCUGAACAUGUGAUGGAAAACAACCAAAUUGAGCCUUAUAAAUUGGAAAAACUAAAAUUUUGAGAUAAGCCCUAUAAACCGGAAAGGAGGGAGUACAUAGGUAGACAAUGGUGUGGGACCGUGAUGUCAGGAAACCAGGAGGAAGGAAAAUAAAUUAUAUAUAUAUAUAUAUAUAUAUAUAUAUAUAUAUAUAUAUAUAUAAUAAGGAGGCACUUGCGUACGUGAGGCUAUGGACCUGGUGGGUCCCCAUUGUCAUCCUAUCCAAGUAAAGUGAUCUCCUCGCCUGCGCGCGCUUUCCGCCCGAAACAGUCAGCGCCGGCCGCCCCACUUCCCGGUGCAGGCGAUUGCUCCGCCUUCAAAUGACACAAGUGCCGUCCGUCCGUCCAUUUACUGCACACAUUAAUGAUACGCGGUUGCCGAGGCGGCUACUCCGGCGUCACACGUCCGUCCCUCGGCCCGCCCACCAUUGCUAUAUAAACUACUGCGCCGGCCAUAGCCGCAGUCAUCCGCAUCCGUUGCCUUUCUCCUGUCCACCCCACUACUGCCCACCAUGGCUUCCUCGCGCUCCAGCGCUCUUCGGGACGGGCGGACGACGGACCACAAGGAGAUAGCAGCCAUUGCUACCGACCGGCUGGCCGGCAGGCAGCCGGAGGACGACGACGUCCCAAUGGAGAACAUGGUAGUCGACAAUCCGGCGCCAACCCCCUCCUCCGCGCCAUCCUCGCCGGUGCAUUGCACCAUGACCAUCGGUGAGGCCCGUGCCCAAUAUAUGGACAAGGUGAGGCAGAUGCGUGAGGAGCAGUUCUGGGAGGCGCAAGCCGACGCCGCCUACAACCACCAUCUCCUCCAGGAGCACCUGUAGGCGGAGGAGCAGAUCGCCGCGGAGCGGGCGGAGCAGGAGGCGCUGCUCGACUCGUACCGCUCCGCCCGCAAGGGCCGCCUCGAGCGCUGGCGGUACCGCAUGCGGGUGGUGGAGGCUGCGGCCACCUACAAAGAGGCUAGCAAAGAGGGCGAUGAAGCGCGCGAGGCGCUGUUUGGCGAGACCAAGGAUGAGGUAGAGGACAAUGCCGGCUCCGACGAGUCCCCGCUCCGCUGGCAUCGACAAUGCCCUGCUCCGCCGAUGCCCCGUGGCGCCAACAACGAGGCAGAGGACACCGUCGGCUCCGCCGAGGCCCCGCCCCGCCAACAACGAGGCAGAGGACAUCGCCGGCUCAGCCGAGACCCCACCGUGCCGGCAACGUGGGGGAGGAUUUCCACCGCUCCGCUGAGGCGCUGCCCGCCGGCAAAGAGACAUCGCCGGCUCCUCCGAGGCCCCGCCCCGCUGCCAACGAGGCCGCGCCACACAGAAAACGAGGAAGAGUAGAACAUGGUAGGUCUCCGCCGCUCGGGUCCAAGUAAAGCCACCGCUGCUACCCUCUGGUUGAAGCCAAGCUAGGCAGGUUGACCAUUGACGGACGGUUAGCUUCUUGGCGGCGAUGUGGAGUCGGAGAGCUGCGCUGGAGAAGAACGCUGCUUCUACUUAACUGCUGGUGCAGUUGGCUGACUGACACGUGGGCCCAACAGGCCACAUGUCAGUUACGCAACUGCACAUGUAGUUAAGUCACUGAAGCUUCUGUUCGGCUCAGCGGGACACAGGUGGGUAGCUUCAGUUAAUUAAUUAUACCUCCAGCACACCCCUUUUUAGUUUUUUUUCGAAAAGGAGGAUGACCCCUGGCCUCUGCAUCUGGGAGAUGCAUGCAGCCACAAACACCCCCUUUUUAGUUGAAUAAUGUAUGAAAUGUAAUGAAAUCCGGCAUGUUUAUAUGAAAUCCGACCGUGUAUGAAUGAAUUUAUUUCGAUUAGUUCGAAUUCCUGUAUCACUGGCAUUGGAUGAACAUGCAAAACAAUACAUACUAGCAUUAUUCCCAAGGUGAUCACCACGUUUGCAUCAGUUUCACAUGUACUCCCUCCGGUCCUUUCUAGUCUGCAUACAAGUUUUGUCUGCAGUCAAAGUAUGUCUACUUUGACCAAUCUUAUACAAAAAAGUAUGCACUUUCACAAUGUACGAAGUAAAAAGGAACAUAAGGAGUACAAAGAGUUUGAGCAGCUUUUUAGCGUUUCUGUACAUUGCAAUCAAACACACAGGCCUGGCAAUUCAUAGAGAACAUUCAAAACAAUCGAUGAUUAUGCAUCUCAGCGACUCACAUGUCAGAGGCAAUAUUUACUUCACAACUGAAGAAUAAAGAAAAAUUGAUCACCGCUGCUGACAGCAAAGGGCGUCCCAUUUGAAAAUAUCAAACGCAUAUCUUGCUAAAAUCAUGAGCAAAAUUUGACAAGGUUGUCCCAUUCCAAAAUAUCAAAUGCCUACGAUUGUGGAAUGGGCAGGGUUUGCCAUCAGUUCGUACAUUGACAUGGCAACUUGUGCUAAAUAAACCAGCUGUUCUUUUUGUGCAGUUCCACCAAAAUCAACCAAAUUCGCGCGUAGCUUGUAUGAUUUCGCCCUUAUAUGUUGCAACGCCUUGAACUUAUGGGCACCUCCUUUCUUGUGGUGGAAAUGAAUGAUUCGAUGUAUUCAUGAACAUUUUGUGCAGUUCCCGUUGAAAUCAAGUUGAGCACCCCUGUUUGCACAAAUACAAAAAAGUGAUUAGUAUAAAGCAAACUAUACUAUGAAUUGACAGUUUCAACAGGCACAUACAUGGUCCAUGUAGAGCACACUUUUAGAAAAAUGGAACUCACCAGAAAGAAUCCUAGAACAACAUUGUACUCGCGCAUCACAGCAAAAAAAAUGGAGAUUUGUCAGUCCUUCUGAGCUGAAGUUAGUUUGGUCUUGUGGGGAGUAAUGUAACCAUCCUUCAACUGCUCCUUCCGAUGAGAAGAUAGACAGUGCUUCUUCAUCCUGGCAUAAUCGGAACUAGUCACUUCACGUACUCAUAUUCUUCUUCAGAGGAAGAUGAUCCUGUUGUGCAAAGACAAGAGGACUACUAAAUGCUAGCAUCCAUGUUUGCUCGAAGAAAGGAAAGGAAAUAUUUAAAACAACACAGAUGAAGCACUUCCCAAGGACAAUACCACUUUUUCAUGACAGUAUCUAAACAGUAGCACAACACCAAUAGAGAUGACAAAGCUCAAUCAUAUGGAUGAAAUCAGUGGGCGAGUACCAACCUUUGUCAGGAGGCUGAUUGUGUAGAGCAUACAUAUGAAGCACUUCUCGGGAACCAUAUGUUGCUAUCUACGGGGGUGGCCAUGCUUACUAUAUACUCCUCGAUUAGUUUAAUGUUUCCAACAUCUUCUUGUGCAGUUCCACUAAAAUAUAUGGUAUCUUCAAAGAAGAUCCCUGUUUGCACAAGUAGAGAUAAUUACGUAUGGCAUCAAAUCAGUGGCAAAACAAUUGCUCGUUUCAGCCAUAGCAAUAAAUUAAGAUGCAAAACUAUAUCAUUACUUGUGUCAUCAUAGUUCCAGUGCUUCAUUACAGCACCGGGAGUUGAUUUUUGUUUUUCUUCCACUUGUUCUUCCCCGUCAUCACUUGGUUCAAUAACAGACAAGCUUUGCCUUCAAUGUAAGAUUUGGCAUGUCAAUUAGGGAGCACAAGUAUAGUACUAAACUUAAUUUUAUGAUGAAAGUGGCAAAAUACAGGCCAACAGUUGUGAAAUAUCCUUAUCUUACCUCAACGGGAUAUUACGAUGCACAUACAGAUAGGAAGUCUUGUCUCCAUUUGUGCAGUUCACUAAAAUCAAGCAACAUUAUCGUACAAGUAGCACAACAUAUGAAAGCACACUACAGAAUCAUGUGAAAGAAGGCUGGUACUGACCUCUCAUGAUGCGGAAUUCAAACAACUCACAAGAAGAAGAUCUGAACCAAAUUCUCCUUAACGGAUAGGAAGUAAGAUCUCCUCUUGUGCAGUUCCACUAAGAUCAAGCAAUCAAGCAACGUUGUCGGUGUGCCAUUUUGGUUGAACUGCACAAAACACUCUUAAAACAGAAGUGAUUUGUGCAGUGCAACAAAAGGUCACAAUGGCAACGAGGUGAACUAGAUAACCCUAUUUACACAGAGGUGCAAAGGAAACAAUUAGUGGUCAAUAACGGUGGAUGACACAGAAGCCAACAAAAAGAAGCAUCUACCUUAUAUAAAUGGGAAAGAAAGCAAGACAAUAGCAUUUCUCAAACGGUGGCAUUGAUUAAUAUUAACAUAGAGAUUAUAUUAACAAUAAAAUUCGUUAAACAUGUAAUUUGCUUUUAACUGUGGCAUUGCAUCAAUUUUCCAGCGACAUUGUCGGUGUCAAAACCGGCGGAUCUCGGGUAGGGGGUCCCGAACUGUGCGUCUAGGCGGAUGGUAACAGGAGACAAGGGACACGAUGUUUUUACCCAGGUUCGGGCCCUCUCGGUGGAGGUAAAACCCUACUCCUGCUUGAUUAAUAUUGAUGAUAUGGGUAGUACAAGAGUCGAUCUACCACGAGAUCAAGGAGGCUAAACCCUAGAAGCUAGCCUAUGGUAUGAUUGUUGUUCGUCCUACGGACUAAAACCCUCCGGUUUAUAUAGACACCAGAGAGGGCUAGGGUUACACAGAGUCAGUUACAAUGGUAGGAGACCUACAUAUCCGUAUCGCCAGGCUUGCCUUCCACGCCAAGGAAAAUCCCAUCCGGACACGGGACGAAGUCUUCAAUCUUGUAUCUUCAUAGUCUUGGAGUCCGGCCAAUGAUGAUAGUUCGGCUAUCCGGACACCCCCUAGUCCAGGACUCCCUCAGUAGCCCCUGAACCAGGCUUCAAUGACGACGAGUCCGGCGUGCAUAUUGUCUUCGGCAUUGCAAGGCGGGUUCCUCCUCCGAAUAAUUCAUAGAAGAUUUCGAACACGAGGAUAGUGUCCGGCUUUGCAAAAUAAAUUCCACAUACCACCGUAGAGAGAAUAAUAUUCACACAAGUUCCAUCUGCUGACGUACUUCGUGGCAUGACAUCACACCACGGCCAAGCCUUUAUUCGAAUUGUUUUUAUUGUUCCACCUCAGCGCGUUUAGCGAAGCGGUUUCCUUGGCACGUCUUGUCAAAGCAGAGAUCGUGUCCCCUUAUUCUGGGAUUCUCAUCAAUACGGGCGUGGGUAACCCAACCGCGCCCGUUGGCAAGCCCCCUCCAUCGAUGGCGAGUCCCAAACGGUCACGGGGACGGCUCUUGGUAUUCAACCCCUUUAUAACGAGACCAAGGCCUGUUCCUUUUCUUCAAUCUCCAAUCGAAUCCGCCCCUCGCCCCGAGUUCCAACACCCAAGGCUCCAGAUUCGGGCGCUUCGGACCUUCGAUAAUAUCCGGCUCUGACCUACAAGGCCGGUGGAUGCCUUCUUCCGUCACGGAAGAAGAUGUGCUAAAGCUGAGAGACGCCAGGUAUCUAACCGGCGAAAUUCCGCAUAGGCUGCCUGCCCAAGGGCAAGUCAUUCCUACUCCCGAGCCCGGCGAGAGCGUGGUUUGCGUGUCUCACUUCCGUCGGGGUCUAGGUUUCCCGAUGGACCCCUUUGUGAGGGGGCUCAUGUUUUACUAUGGGCUAGAAUUCCAUGACUUGGAUCCGGAGUCCAUCCUCCACAUCUCAUCGUUCAUUGUUGUAUGCGAAGCCUUCCUCCGCACUACCCCUCACUUUGGAUUGUGGCUCAAGACCUUCGACGUGGAGCCAAAGAUGAUCGAGGGGCAGCCGGCAGAGUGCGGAGGGGCAGUUAUAAGCAAGAGGGCUGACGCUCCAUGGCCCGAGGGCUUUUUUCAAGAGGAGCUUCGGUUGUGGCAACAGGAGUGGUUCUACAUCACCGCUCCCAGGGGCACCAGAUGGGUGGCGCUGCCUGCCUUUCGCUCGGGCCCUCCACAGCGGCUGGCAUCAUGGGUCAACAAAGGGCUUGACUGGGGGCCGUCCAAGGACGUACCAUUGUUGCAGGGCCGUAUUCGAGACCUCCAAGAGAGGGAGAUCAAUCUGGUUGUAGUGGCGCAGGUCAUGCUGAUUCGGCGCCUUCUGCCCUGCAAAUGUUGCCCCCUCCACCUGUGGGAAUUCAAUCGGGAGGGACCGUGAGCUCUCCAACACUUCAUGGGUGCGACACCCGUGGAGAUGUAUAAACUGUUCUUCGGUUCACAAGAGAUGUGUCCGGACUUGACCGAGGAUGCAUGUCUGAGCUGCAAUCGCCCGGAUACUCAAGUAAGUAGUCCUAUGCCCGGACAUGCUAUCCGUACAUUUAUCAUAAACUUGCCCUUUAAAGAGCUGUCCCUUGAACAGGAAUGGAUAGCAAAAGCAAAACUUAUAAGGUGUCUGGCCCCCCUCCCUGAGACCACGCCGGAUCCCGUGUUAACCAAGAUGCUGGAGGUUGCACCAUUGGAAGAGGGCGAAGGAGGGAACAGGAAGGCUACCGCCUCCGCUAAGGAGGCUCUUAAGGAAGGGGGGAUCGAGAAUCCCCCCUCCAAGGGGAGAACAGGACCGCUUCUGAAGAUCCGGAGGCUAAGGCCUCAAAGCGGGGGAAGAAAUCUUCACCAGAGGGUCCUGCACUGGGAGGAGCCCCGGCCGCACUCUUUCCCCGAGGAAAUCAGCCCUCUAGCGAGCCGUAAGUAGAAAGGGGAGUUUUGCAAUAAGGGACAUCCCUGUUUUUAUUUCUGAAGAUAAACAAAGUUAUUACCUUGUAGUUCGGAUCUCAGCCCUUCUCAGCAGAGCUCAUCUUCAGGGGAUCUUCGUCCGGAGAUGAUGGAGAGCGAAACGCCUCCAUCUGCCGCACCAUCAGGCGGGGCGGACGACCCUGAGGUGUCGUCGCGGAGGGUCUCCCCGAGUCCGGCGGGGCCGGAGAGUUCGGCACCAACUGGUGUACGGCCGGAGGAGUUGAAGGAUCUGCUCGGGCGGGUGUCUAUCUCAGAAGAUCACCGUAUGUUAAUGGGUAUGGUGAUUGAAAGGAUUUCAUCCGCUGAGAGCGGGUUGCAUGAGGCCGUCAUAAGUUUACUGACGGGGUUUGAGGUACGCGAAAAUGAUAUACCUUCUGACAGUUUUGCACAUAAAAUGUGCCCUGUAUAGAUAGUAGCCCCUGAGACUCGGUACGUUGUCAAAAGCGACAGCGUGCCGAGGAUCAUAAUCUCACUUGUAAGAUGUCGCCUUUCCUGUACAGGUGGCGGAGCGUUCGGUGGCCAGCCGGACUGAUAUAGUUGCCGAACUGAAGCGGCAACUUGACGUUGCGGAUGCGGACAUCGCGCUGGUCAAGAAACGACUUGACGAGUCACAAGGUAUGUGGCUUCUCCGCGGACGCCUGGUAAGGGAGCUUGACGCCCGUGCCUUACAACAUGUACGCUUAAUGCAGAUGGUGCCGCUGCUAUGGAGGAUCUUCGGGCGGAGCUUGCCCGAGCCAAGGAGCAAGCCAGAAAAAGUAAUGCGGCUGCCUCGAAGGCGACCGAAGAGCUAAAAGCCGAACAGGCUGCUCACUGCCGAAGUAGGGAGGAAAUGGCCGAAAUGGCCGUGAAGCUGAAGGAUGCUACCGACCGCUAUGAGUUUCUUGAAAGAGAACACCGAGCGGAGCAAGAGGGCCUGAAGAAGGCCACCGCCGAAGCCAAGGAUGGCCGCUCCGUGAUGAGAGCUAUAAAAGAGGAGCUCCGUCAGGCCGGUGAUAUUGCGGAUGGAAAGCCUUUUCUGCUGCGUAGGAAGUUCACGGAUCUGAAGUAUGCUCAGUUGGGCCAGUUGUGGGGUGCGAAGGAUGCUUAUCUGAAUUUGGCGGCGAGUGCCGCAGAUGCAGUCGCACACUUCCGAGGCCAAAAGGAUCACGGAAUGGAAGAGCUUUUUUGGUCGCAAUUCCAUAGUCCGAAGCAUCCACUUCCAUUAACCGAUCGGUUAGCUGAGUGGGAUGAGCUGAAUAGGUUGUCCGGACUUGCCAUGAAGGAUGUCGUGGCUCAUUUGUGGCCGAAAAGGCCCGAGCCGAAGAGUUAUUUUGGCUUGGUGCAGCAGUUCCUUGAUGCGGUGCCGCAUAUCGAGGCGAUGAAGUGGUCGGCAUGCAUAGAGGGUGCGCGGAUGGCUCUCGCCCGUGUCAAAACAUACUGGGCAGAGAUGGAGGCCACCGACGUUGCAUCCCAGGAUUCGGACAGAAGCCGAUUACCAGCUGAGCACUAUUUUGAGGAAGUCCUGCAGGGCGCUCGUUUAAUAGAGAUGCAGUGCUCAAAAAAUGUUAUGUUCAAAUGACAUAUAUGAUUUGUGAAACCAUGUUUCAAAUAUAAUAUAAGGGCUUUUUAUACUUGUGCGUUCAAGUGUUGAAAUACCUCCUAUGCGACCGUUAACGUAUAUGCGUAUAUAACCUGAAAGAUGGCAGUCUUCGGCUUCAGCCCCCACGCACAUAGUGCGGGGGUGUUUGCAAAAAGGCGCAUUUUCACACUUAAUCCAACGUCUUGGUCCUGUGAAGGAGGUGAUAGCGUAGCAAACUAGGAAACCGGACUAUAAUGCUUUAUCACUUUCACUUAGCCAUAGGAGUUCGAUGGUGGGGCUACUAUAUAGCCCCUGGGGGCACUGCGCUCUUUGAAUUUCGGGGCGCAUAUGUGCCUGACCGGGAAACAGUCCUUCGUUAAAGCGGAGGAAUUCUAAACAUUCCGGUGGUCGAUCGAGUGGUUGACCAGUCUCUCGCUAUAUCAUGACAGUCAGUUUUCGGCUUUCUCUACUGAGGUGCUCACCUGGGCGAACCGGGGCACAAUCACAGUAGUUCUCCUGGUGCCGCGUUGGCCGAUAGAGCGGAAUGUAAGGCAGCAAAACACAGGAGCCGGGCAAACCCAACAUUUGACCAAAGACAUGAUUCGGAGCUGAUGCAUAUAAGGCCUAACUCGAGACGCCGAACACUCCCUAAGGUAUUCGGUCUUUAUGAAAAUGGGCAGAACAAUGCCCUAAGCCCCUAGUGUCCAGGUACGCGCAAUUUUUUUUGAAGCGGCCGAUGCCAAAACGCCAGCUUCCUCCUCGGUUAUGGUGAGAAACCGGGGGAUGUGUAUCAACAAGAGACAGUAAGAAAGGUUUACGCAGGGUCUUAAUCUGAAAAGAAUCCUUGCAACGGGUCCCUACUGCACGUUUGCACCCGUGUCUCCGUUAUGCCGUAUCCUGGACGGGCAUAGCACAGUGUUCAUCUGUAAAAGAGAAGAACUUAGUUUGAAAAAGGGGUCGUGCGAAAAAUGUAUAGACAGAAUAUAAGUCAAAAACGAAUAAAAUUGAGCUUUAUUGUCUCUUAUUGUACAUGCGUGCAGCCCCUUGUAAGGGGGGACACGACUAGUAAGCCCCUUGUUUAUUUGUGCCGGACUCGCCUAACCGUGUCCGGGGUCUGAAUGACCUGUUUGGGUGCUUUGAUCGGUGAAGCCGGAUUAAUGUGUGGCUGUCAAGGCAGUCUUACUUUCUUCCAUAUUCGAGGAACACUCAAGGUUUCCCUUUAAUGAGAUUAUGCCACGUGGACCGGGCAUUUUAAGUGUAAGAGAUGCAUAAUGCGGUAUUGCGUUAAAGCGGGCGAAAGCUUCGCGUCCCAAUAGUGCUUGAUAGCUACUUUUAAAUGGGGCAAUGUGGAAGACUAACUUUUCGCGACGGGAGUUGUCGGAUGAGCCGAACACAACUUCUAGUGGUAGAGAGCCCGUACAAUGGGCAUAUGGGCCUGGCAUCACUCCUUUGAAGGAAGUGUUGCUAUGGUGUAUUUUGGUUGGGUCUAUCCCCAUUCUGCGGAUUGUAUCCUGAUAUAGUAGGUUUAGAUCACUGCCGCCGUCCAUUAGGACUUGUGUAAAUUGUAGUCCGUCGAUUACAGGAUCUAAUAUCAGGGCAGUCCAUCCUACGUUCCGGAUACUUCCGGAGUAAUCCUGAUGGUCGAAAGUGAUUGGUUUUGACAUCCAGUGUCGGGACUCCGCUGGGGUGGACCGUGCGGCGCGUAUUUUAAUGGGCGCCGCUCUACUUUUGCCUGUUGUCACAUUAAGUGAGUUUACUGUUUUGACCUCUUGUGGGAAAUUCCUUUGUUUGCCGGUGCUCUGCUUGUGGAGUUCGUCACCGUCCUCACUUAGUGUUUCGAGCCCCUUGUGUUCGGCAUUAAGUCGGCCGGACUGUUUGAAGACCCAACAAUCUCUGUGGGUAUGGUUUGCAGGCCUCCCGGAGGUGCUGUGGAUUUGGCAUGUCUUGUCCAAGAUUUUGUUUAGGUUGGAUAGCUCGUCGCUGUUGUCCUUGAGAGGCAGUGUUUUGUUGCUCUGCCGAGAGCUUUUGAACCCGGCAUUGACUGCCGUGUUCUUUGGGCCAUUUCCCUUAGUUCGGCGCUGGUCCUUUCUACGUCGUGGUUUCCCAUUUCCAUCCCUGACCUCGGAUGUACUUGGGUCGCUGGUGCUGCAUCUUGCCAGCCAGCUAUCCUCUCCCGCGCAAAAGCGGGUCAUGAGGCUUGUUAAUGCGGCCAUUGUUCAUGGCUUUUCCUCGCCGAGGUGUCUGGCGAGCCAUUCGUCUCGGACGUUAUGUUUGAAGGCUGCUAAGGCUUCGGCGUCCGGACAGUCGACUAUUUGGUUCUUUUUGGUGAGGAACCUGUUCCAGAAUUUGCGGGCCGACUCUCCGGGCUGUUGGGUUAUGUGACUUAAAUCGUCUGCAUCCGGAGGGCGGACAUAAGUCCCCUAAAAAUUUGCCCGAAACGCAUCCUCGAGCUCUUCCCAACUUCCAAUGGUAUUUUCUGGGAGGCUUUUGAGCCAAUGCCGAGUUGGCCCUUUGAGCUUGAGGGGUAAGUAUUUUAUGGCGUGGAGGUCAUCUCCUCUAGCCAUAUGUAUGUGCAGGAUGUAAUCCUCAAUCCAGACUCCAGGGUCUGUUGUUCCGUCGUAUGCCUCUAUGUUUACGGGCUUGAAUCCCGCUGGAAAUUCAUGAUCCAGCACCUCAUCGGUGAAACAUAAGGGGUGUGCAGCGCCCCUGUAUUUGGGCAUGCCAUGAUGUUCAAAUACUCAACGUGUUGUAUUGCUUUAUGGGGCUUGCUUUCUUGGCCCAUAGAUGGACCUGACUGGGCCAUCCUUUUUGUGAGGAUCCAUAUGUGGAUCGCGUGCCGGCUUAUGUGCGGCGCCGCUUGUUGCUCUUUGUUUGCUAUGUGGUCGUCUAUCCGACCGGGCGGCCUCUUUGUUUUUUGAUUGUGGGGGCUCUGCGGCCUCCUCGUCGAAUUCGGGCAGUAGUUUGCGCUUUGGGUAGCUUUUUGCUUGGCGACUAUCGCCGUAUUUGUCUGCGGUCUUGAGUACUUUGCUCCAUCUCAUUCUGAGUACGUCUUCCGCUGUUUUGAGCUUCUGCUUCUGCUUCUUCAGACUUCGUGCAGUGGCGACGAGCCUUUUGUGGAGGUUCUUCUGCUCCAAUGAUGUGUUCGGCAUGAGAUCGUCCGGACUGUUGUUUUCACUAGGGAUGGAUUGCUUAUCCAAUUUAUCCUGUUCGGAUGGUUUCUCGGGGGCAUGUUCGUCGUCCACCGGUUUGCCCUGCUCUACGGCUGGGUCCGUAUGGGUGCUGUUGUUGUCGGGGCGGGACUUUGGGCGGCGCUUGCAUUGCCGUUUCGGCUGUUUUUCGAGGGAGUUAUCCUUCACAGCGUCCCGUUGUUCCUCGUUAUCGCUUGCUUUAGGUGUGCCCACCAUAUAAACAUCGUGAGUUGAGGUGGCCUUCCAGUGCCCUAUAGGCACUGGGUCUUGGUCGUCUCCGGCAUCGUCGUCCAUACCGUCGAUAUCUUCGGAGUCGAAGUCUAGCAUGUCGGUUAAGUCAUCGAUAGUGGCUAUGAAGUGGGUGGUGGGUGGGCUUUGAAUUUCUUCGUCGUCCGCAUCCCAACCGUUCGGACCAUAAUCCGGCUAGGGCUCUUAUGAUAAAGAGAGACACUUUAGCGAAUUCAGGAUGUCACCAAAAGGUGAGUGCUGAAAGAUGUCCACAGCGGUGAACUCCAUGAUCGGCGCCCAAUCGGAUUCGAUUGGCAGGGGCGCGGAAGGUUCGGGGUCCGGAGAGGAGUCCGACACCUUGGAGUCACGAGCUUCACAAGGGACAGGGGUCAGUAUUUGGCUCUAUCGCCAUAGAGGUAGCAGCCCCCGAGGUGGUGUCCAGCCACCCAUCCUCGAUUGGCGGCGUCGGCUCCGAGCUAAGGGUCGGAGCGGACUCUUGUGCGGCCUCCAGGGCACUGUCCGGCAGCAGAGCUAAAUCAUGCCCAUCGUGACAGUGCGGCGUGCUCGGCUGUGGCUCGAAUCCGUCGAAGAUCAAGUCUCCGCGGAUUUUGGCCAUAUAGUUCAAACUUCCAAAUCUGACCUGAUGGCCAGGGGCAUAGCUUUCGAUCUGCUCCAGAUGGCCAAGUGAAUUGGCCCGCAGUGCGAAGCCGCCGAAUACGAAGAUCUGUCCGGGGAGAAAAGUCUCACCCUGGACCGCGUUGUUGUUGAUGAUCGAAGGAGCCAUCGGGCCUAUAGGUGACGACACAGAGGAACUCUCAAUGAAAGCACCAAUGUCGAUGUCAAAACCAGCGGAUCUCGGGUAGGGGGUUCCGAACUGUGCGUCUAGGCGGAUGGUAACAGGAGACAAGGGACACGAUGUUUUUACCCAGGUUCAGGCCCUCUCGGUGGAGGUAAAACCCUACUCCUGCUUGAUUAAUAUUGAUGAUAUGGGUAGUACAAGAGUAGAUCUACCACGAGAUCAAGGAGGCUAAACCCUAGAAGCUAGCCUAUGGUAUGAUUGUUGUUCGUCCUACGGACUAAAACCCUCCGGUUUAUAUAGACACCGGAGAGGGCUAGGGUUACACAGAGUCGGUUACAAUGGUAGGAGACCUACAUAUCCGUAUCGCCAAGCUUGCCUUCCACGCCAAGGAAAAUCCCAUCCGGACACGGGAUGAAUUCUUCAAUCUUGUAUCUUCAUAGUCUUGGAGUCCGGCCAAUGAUGAUAGUUCGGCUAUCCGGACACCCCCUAGUCCAGGACUCCCUCAGGCAUUAUUAGAGAGUGUUUGUUUACAAGGACAUUUUGGUGUAGGGACUAAAAAUACUCCGUGUCAGUCACAUCUAAACCAAACAGGAGGGACUUUUCGGAACUAAAAGUGGGCAUUUGGGACUAAAGAAAGAAGACCCCGAGGGAGUCUUUUUGGGACUUUUUCCAACAGUUGCCCCUGCCACGCAUCGCACCUUGUUUCUAUUAGUUCAUUACUAGGGGUAACAUGGUCUUUUAUCAUGUCAUUUAAUAACCUCUAGUCCAUGUUUAGUCCCUGGAACCAAGCAGGUAGGGACUAGGGAGUUUUUAACCAAACAGGGCCAUAGAUUAACAACAGCUAAUGAGUUGCACGGGACAGUGGACACACCAGCACCAUGUGCAUCUACCGAUGUACUGUGGUCAUGCACAGUCUGUUGCAACAAAGAACAAACAACCAAGGAUCAUAUUUGUGUUGGUCCCAGAUUUGUUAUCUUUAGACACCUUUCCCUAUGUGAGCGCAGCAAAUCUAGUCCUGCUCAAACUCUACAGCCUUGUCCCUUCCUUUCCUUUUUGAACUAGUACUUUCGCCCCUUCCUUUCCUCUUUGAACCACGUCCUAGAUUUAUGCGAUACAACUUUCCCCACUACUUUCCCCCAUUCCUUUCCUCUUUGAACCAUGUCCUAGAUUCAUGCUAUACAACUUUCCCCCUUCAUUUCCUCUUUGAACCACGUCCUAGAUUCAUGCUAUAUAUAACUUUUCCCACUACUUUCCCCCACUCCUUUCCUCUUUGAACCACGUCCUAGAUUCAUGGUAUACAUGCAGCUAGAGCAAUGCAUGUGGAGUAAGUAAAAUAUACCUUAAGGUUCUUGGGGCAUGGUUCGGUGGGCGACGGGACGAUGGCGAAGAAGAAGGGGUCGGAGGCCCUCCCGCGCCGCCGCUGGGUGGAAAGUGAACAGCAACGCCGGUAGUGGAUUCCCUCCCUCGCCGACGGCGACAGCGUUAAGCCUCCUUCCCUUCCCGGCGGAUGGAUCCUGCUGGCUCUUUGAGCAGCAAUGAGGGGAGAGAGAGGCCAACGGAGUCUUGUUUAGAUCUGGAGAGGGCGAGAGAGUGUCAAUAGAGCAACUACAAGCGCUGAGGAUCCAGCGGGAGAGGGGGAGAGAGUGUGAAGAGAGCAACUACAAGCGCUGAGGCUCCAGCGUGUAUAUAUAUACUGGAGAGAGAGUGUGAAGCGUGCAAACCCUAGAAAACAUUUUGACCAGUCAAAGAAUCCUCCUGGCAAAAAUUAUGCUCAAGUGUAGUUAUCGAACCCGAGACCUCAAGUUUGAUGAGCGAACAGGCUAACCAGCUACACAACCCUCCCGUUAUGUUCAACGAGAGGAAAAUAACCUUUUAUACAUUCCUGCAUUCGUGUGACAGGCAUGCCGUGUUUGUGUGUGUGUGUGUGUGUGUGUGUGUGUGUGGGAGUCAUUAGGAUUUCAAUCAUAAUCGUGUCAUGUGGCUUUGGUGGUAAGACUAUCCACAGUGGUGCAGAAAUAAUGCAGCCUUAGUCACCUUACCUCUCUCCACGUAGUACAUUGGGUCCCACCAGUCAGAGGGUGAAACAAACAAAUUAAUAAGAAAAAUUAAAAGUGCCAGCGAUGUAUCUUACUACCCCACACAUCUCGCUACUGCUCGGGAACACUGUCCAAUUGAUCCCUCUGUUCGCUCAUGUACUAUUUUAAGUGAAUCCUUAUUAUAACAUGCACACAAAUUUUGGGCACUUGUAUUCGACUUAAGUCAGUGUGCCACCAUAUGUCGUAUACUUACUACUCCCUCCGUCUAGGUGUAAUAAGUCAUGUUAGAAGGUGCAACGGGACCAAGGUGCGUGCGUGUGCGUGUGUGUGUUUAACAGCAUGUGUGUGUUAGAGAGUGCGUUAGAUCAACCUACUCCUACAGAGAUAUGGUGUGUAGUGUAUGAUUUUAGCCGUGAGAGUCAGUGCAUCCUCUCGUUUCUGGGCGUGUCCGGUAGGGACAUGCGGACAGCUGCCAUGCCCCCUCCUGACCAGCCUAGCCCACCCAAAGCCCCUCCACCGCCCGCGCGUGCUUCCCGCCCGAAAUGGUCAGCACCGCUCCAAAGAAUCGGUGCUGCAUUCAUGCCCGGGCAGAGCGGACGUGACCUCUCACUGGCGCAAGAGUGAUGGUUGCUUCGUCCGUCCAACUUACUGCUGGGUCUAUGUGAUUUGACGGCUCAUUGGUCUUUAUUACUGAGGUGGUAGGACUGCUGGAUGUCCCAUGCUUUCGGCGAAAGGAGGUAGUAGAUUACAAUUUUCUCCAUUCUUACAGCGGAGGAGUGCAAGAGCAGUGAAAACACACAGGCUCAGUGAUUACAUGGCCCACCUCACACUAUCACCGUGCGACACCUAACUCUUUACAUAGUACUCCCUCCAUUCCUAAAUAUUACUAGAUGAGUCCCCGCUCGUUGCCGUGAAACAGCGGUAUAUCUCUCUACGCAAAAUUAUCAAUUUCAUAGAACUAAAAAAAAA